CCUUCGAUAGCUCAGCUGGAAGAGCGCGAGACUGUAAAUCUCGAGGUCACUGGAUCGACGCCGGUUCGAAGGA
Molecule: transfer RNA, 73 nt
Filed under: Jaapia argillacea MUCL 33604
Lineage: Eukaryota; Fungi; Basidiomycota; Agaricomycetes; Jaapiales; Jaapiaceae
Description: tRNA-Tyr (GTA) (tRNA-Tyr-GTA-3-1, tRNA-Tyr-GTA-3-2)
Rfam family: tRNA
About the family: Transfer RNA (tRNA) molecules are approximately 80 nucleotides in length.
Source: RNAcentral